GUUGUAUGGUUAAGUGACUAAGCGUACACGGUGGAUGCCUUGGCAGUCAGAGGCGAUGAAGGACGUAUUAACUUGCGAUAAGCCCAGAUUAGGUAGUAAAAACCAUUUGAGUCUGGGAUUUCCGAAUGGGGAAACCCAAUACCAUAAGGUAUUACUGUUGAGUGAAUACAUAGCUCAACAGGGCGAACCGGGGGAACUGAAACAUCUAAGUACCCCGAGGAAAAGAAAUCAACCGAGAUUCCGAAAGUAGCGGCGAGCGAAAUUGGACUAGCCCUUAAGCUUUACACGCGUUAGACGAACAGCCUGGAAAGGCCGACGAUACAGGGUGAUAGUCCCGUAGUUGACGACGUGUGUUCAGUGAAAUCGAGUAGGGCGGGACACGUGAUAUCCUGUCUGAAUAUGGGGGGACCAUCCUCCAAGGCUAAAUACUACUGACUGACCGAUAGUGAACCAGUACCGUGAGGGAAAGGCGAAAAGAACCCCUGUGAGGGGAGUGAAAUAGAACCUGAAACCGUGUACGUACAAGCAGUAGGAGCAGGCUUUGUCCUGUGACUGCGUACCUUUUGUAUAAUGGGUCAGCGACUUAUAUUCAGUGGCAAGGUUAACCAUCUAGGGGAGCCGUAGGGAAACCGAGUCUUAACUGGGCGUUCAGUCUCUGGAUAUAGACCCGAAACCAGGUGAUCUAGCCAUGGGCAGGUUGAAGGUUGAGUAACAUCAACUGGAGGACCGAACCGACUAAUGUUGAAAAAUUAGCGGAUGACUUGUGGCUAGGGGUGAAAGGCCAAUCAAACCUGGAGAUAGCUGGUUCUCCCCGAAAGCUAUUUAGGUAGCGCCUCGGACGAAUACUACUGGGGGUAGAGCACUGUUAAGGCUAGGGGGUCAUCCCGACUUACCAACCCUUUGCAAACUCCGAAUACCAGUAAGUACUAUCCGGGAGACACACGGCGGGUGCUAACGUCCGUCGUGGAGAGGGAAACAACCCAGACCGCCAGCUAAGGUCCCAAAUUACUACUAAGUGGGAAACGAUGUGGGAAGGCUCAGACAGCCAGGAUGUUGGCUUAGAAGCAGCCAUCAUUUAAAGAAAGCGUAAUAGCUCACUGGUCGAGUCGGCCUGCGCGGAAGAUGUAACGGGGCUAAGUA
RNAcentral lists this ribosomal RNA (1140 nucleotides) under Vibrio alginolyticus. RNAcentral's name for it is "partial 23S ribosomal RNA". It matches the Rfam family "Bacterial large subunit ribosomal RNA", at positions 1 to 1188 of the family's 2925-position model. Lineage: Bacteria; Pseudomonadati; Pseudomonadota; Gammaproteobacteria; Vibrionales; Vibrionaceae. The record is from RNAcentral.